RNAcentral lists this ribosomal RNA (251 nucleotides) under uncultured bacterium. RNAcentral describes it as "partial 16S ribosomal RNA". It matches the Rfam family "Bacterial small subunit ribosomal RNA", at positions 524 to 776 of the family's 1533-position model. The record is from RNAcentral.
UACGUAGGGGGCAAGCGUUGUCCGGAAUUAUUGGGCGUAAAGAGCGCGUAGGCGGUCCGAUAAGUCGGCUGUGAAAGUCCAGGGCUCAACCCUGGAAAGCCGGCCGAUACUGUCGGACUAGAGUCCGGAAGAGGCAAGUGGAAUUCCCGGUGUAGCGGUGAAAUGCGCAGAUAUCGGGAGGAACACCAAUGGCGAAGGCAGCUUGCUGGGACGGUACUGACGCUGAGGCGCGAAAGCGUGGGAGCAACAGG